GAGUGUAAACAAUCAUCUUCCAGGGGACAGUCCAUGGCUGCAUCUGCCUUGGGUAUCACUCGAAACUUGCAGAGCAUGUGAAAUAUCUGGCCGUCGCUGUUAAAUUAAUUCUGGUAGAGCAGAAACUCUCCAUUUGUGGAAUGCAUCACACUUGUGUCAAGUUCAUUCUGGUCCAAGAACAAGUCCCAUAGGAAGAACUCAUAUAAUUUUACAAUGCUUGGCCCUAAAUCUUCAUUUCGUGACACCAGUCUCACAUAAUGCAAGCAAAACUCUUGGAGAAUGAUGGGUGGAUAUCAAAGAACAGCAUCUCAUCAGCACUCCCCUCCUUCCAGCCUUCCUGCAUGAGGAAGGAAGAGAGACCAUAGAUCAUAAGCCCCCAGCAACCAUGGACCCCCCCAAUCGAGUUUUCUCUCCUACAACUGCUCUUCUAUACUUUCAUUAUAUAGACUAUAUCACUCUAAAC
This is a long non-coding RNA of Ailuropoda melanoleuca (giant panda), 463 nucleotides long. RefSeq lists it as uncharacterized. The transcript has 3 exons. The record is from RefSeq and is a predicted model, not a curated record. Lineage: Eukaryota; Metazoa; Chordata; Mammalia; Carnivora; Ursidae.